GAAAAGGGACAAAUUUCUUUAGACUUUCCAGCAUAUGGCCUCAGUUGGGCUCUCUGCAGGGCAAAGGCCGGAAGGCACUACUAGCUGGCUGGGGGCACCCCUGUGUGGGGAGACCGAGGUGUUAGCUGGGGUGGAGAUGCAGAGGCUUCUGGGAGCUCUGCAGCCAGAGAGCAUCUCCACGUGGCCCAGGGGUUGGUUCCUGUCCCUUCUGACAAAGAAGGCCAGAAAGAUUUGUCUUGGUGGUUUGAGGAACCCAUUGGUUUCUGAGGUGCCACAUUUGGAACCAGACCCAUGUCCCUAGGGCUUGCAUUUUUACUCGUUAACGUUCAAAUGUGGCUUCUUACUUCUAAGAAAAAGGACACAGAGAGCCUUCCUGAAGCAGGCUUGGAAGGCUUCUUGGACCUCAGAUUGCUCUUUCAAAACACCAGCGGGUGAGUUCAGUGUAAAUGAAUCAGAAGCUUGUGGGAUCAAUUUACCUUAAAAUACACUUGGGCCUAAAAAUUAAGGAAGAACAGCCUGGGGCAAAGUGUGUACUGUGAGCCCAAACCCCAAACAUUCAGGAAACAGUUCCAGAGGCUCCCAGAACCCAAAAUGCUAUUCCCUUUCACCCACCCCUUGAGGUGGGUCAGAUGUGAUUUUAUUUUUUAUUUUUGCAAGAUUGUAGAUUGCUGCUCUGACUCCUACGCUUUAAACUAGUGGGCUGGCUAUUUCCAGGACCUGUAGAUAUCUGGACUACCCGUGCCUGUCGCUUGUCAGUGUUGCCCUACCCAGGAGCUGAGCCAGACCUUGUCAAGAGAAACCUGGUCUGUUAUGUUCCAUCAGGGCCUGAAGGAUGUUGGGGCCUGUUGCGGAAGGGGCUCUGGAUUAAAAACUGGGACACCUGCAAAAGUCCUUGUGUUACCACCUAAUCUUCUGAGUUCCACAUGGAUGAGAACUUCCAUUCACUCGCUUCUGAUUCUAAAGUUUUGUGAUUCCUUGAAAUGUACUUGAGGGAUAACAGCCAGC
RNAcentral lists this long non-coding RNA (1005 nucleotides) under Marmota monax (woodchuck). The record is from RNAcentral. Lineage: Eukaryota; Metazoa; Chordata; Mammalia; Rodentia; Sciuridae.